GGGGAGAGCUCUCUACUACAUAUCAAAGGCCUUUACAACUACUGCCUCAAAGUCAGAGAAGAUAUGAUAUGUUGAUUCCAAAAAUGAAAAUGCAGCUUUGGAACCAAAGGUUGCCAAAGAGACAAUUGAUUUUAAGGACAUAAAGUGAAUUAAUCAUAUUAUUGCAUCCCUACAACGCAAGCUUGCGCCAGCCCCACCACCACCACCAUUUCCAGAAGGCUACAUUCCCCUCACGAACAAAGAAUCGAAAAAUGGCCCUGAGACCCAUCAAACGGGGGAGGCACAACCACCUCCCCUUGACCCCAUCAUUGAUCAAGGCACAACUAAAAGAAUGAAAUUAUGAAUAAUAGGUGUCGCAUCAUAAGUUAUAUGUCCAGAAGUAUAUAUGUAAAAAUCUGAAGUUAAGUUAAUCACUACAACUUUAAAUAUCCGCUAAUCCCUAGGCCUUUUUCAGUUGUGGUAAAGAUCUGAAGCUAAGCUAAGUUAAUCACUACAACUUUAUAUAUGUUGUGGUAGUUUUCACUUCAAUUGUUGUACAAGGACAAGAAGAAGAAAUAUAUGUUGUUGGACAAUGAAUUUAGUGUUUUAUAUUAUUUGUAAUUUUUAUUAGAGUAAAUGAUUCUUUGUAAAUA
Long non-coding RNA from Humulus lupulus (European hop), 632 nucleotides. RefSeq lists it as uncharacterized. The transcript is spliced from 3 exons. Lineage: Eukaryota; Viridiplantae; Streptophyta; Magnoliopsida; Rosales; Cannabaceae. The record is from RefSeq and is a predicted model, not a curated record.